UGAGGAAUAUUGGUCAAUGGGGGCAACCCUGAACCAGCCAAGUCGCGUGAAGGAUGAAGGUCUUAUGGAUUGUAAACUUCUUUUACACGGGAAUAAAGCGGGGGACGUGUCCCUCUUUGCAUGUACCGUGUGAAUAAGGAUCGGCUAACUCCGUGCCAGCAGCCGCGGUAAUACGGAGGAUCCGAGCGUUAUCCGGAUUUAUUGGGUUUAAAGGGUGCGCAGGCGGGAUGUUAAGUCGGCGGUGAAAUUUUGCAGCUCAACUGUAAAAGUGCCUUCGAUACUGGCCUUCUUGAGUGUGGAUGAAGUAGGCGGAAUUUGUGGUGUAGCGGUGAAAUGCUUAGAUAUCACGAGGAACUCCGAUUGCGCAGGCAGCUUACUAAGCCACAACUAACGCUCAUGCACGAAGGCGUGGGGAUCAAACA
Molecule: ribosomal RNA, 422 nt
Filed under: uncultured bacterium
Lineage: Bacteria
Description: bacterial SSU rRNA
Rfam family: Bacterial small subunit ribosomal RNA
Source: RNAcentral